Molecule: ribosomal RNA, 568 nt
Filed under: uncultured bacterium
Lineage: Bacteria
Description: bacterial SSU rRNA
Rfam family: Bacterial small subunit ribosomal RNA
Source: RNAcentral
CCUACGGGAGGCAGCAGUGGGGAAUAUUGGACAAUGGGCGAAAGCCUGAUCCAGCAACGCCGCGUGAGGGAUGACGGCCUUCGGGUUGUAAACCUCUUUCAGCACAGACGAAGCGAAAGUGACGGUAUGUGCAGAAGAAGCACCGGCCAACUACGUGCCAGCAGCCGCGGUAAUACAUAGGGUGCGAGCGUUGUCCGGAAUUAUUGGGCGUAAAGGGCUCGUAGGCGGUUUGUUGCGUCAGGAGUGAAAACUCGGGGCUUAACCCCGAGCCUGCUUCUGAUACGGGCAGACUAGAGGUAUGCAGGGGAGAACGGAAUUCCUGGUGUAGCGGUGAAAUGCGCAGAUAUCAGGAGGAACACCGGUGGCGAAGGCGGUUCUCUGGGCAUUACCUGACGCUGAGGAGCGAAAGUGUGGGGAGCGAACAGGAUUAGAUACCCUGGUAGUCCACACCGUAAACGUUGGGCGCUAGGUGUGGGACUCAUUCCACGAGUUCCGUGCCGCAGCUAACGCAUUAAGCGCCCCGCCUGGGGAGUACGGCCGCAAGGCUAAAACUCAAAGGAAUUGACGG